AACUUGUGGUUGUGUACAGGUGAGUGUUCCUUUGUACGUGAUUCGUGCGGAUGGACAAAUGGGACAAAAGAGGAGCAAUCUUCUCCACAGGUCGAAGGUCUUGUUGGUAGCGGGGUUUCUGACCCUCUCCAGUUUCAGGUAAAUGAAGGAUCUCUUACAUGGAGGUUGGCGUCCUCUUCCACUCGUCCAGCCAACCUACAAGAUCACUCCUUCGGAGCUCCAGCCGGUUAUGCUUUCUUCGACAUUUUCAACCAGAAUGUGGUUCAAACCCCCAUCCUCCGAAGUCCCCAGUUCGAGUCUGCUCUUGUGGACAGCCGUUGCAUCAGCUUUUGGUUCACACCAUUCGGUCGAGGAAAGUCUACGACCCUGAGUGUGGUUCGUGUAGAGACAACGGAGCCUGAGACUCGCGACGUGUUGUGGCGCUUUUCCACCCAUGGUUACGACACUAGUCACCCCGAGUGGAACUACGGUCAAACUAAAGUAAAGGCUGAUUCGACAUACAGGGUAAGUUUGAGGGAGUA
Limulus polyphemus (Atlantic horseshoe crab) is the source of this 521-nucleotide long non-coding RNA. RefSeq lists it as uncharacterized. The transcript is spliced from 3 exons. The record is from RefSeq and is a predicted model, not a curated record. NCBI's taxonomy places the organism in Eukaryota, Metazoa, Arthropoda, Merostomata, Xiphosura, Limulidae.